GAUGAACGCUGGCGGCGUGCCUAAUACAUGCAAGUCGAGCGAACGGACGAGAAGCUUGCUUCUCUGAUGUUAGCGGCGGACGGGUGAGUAACACGUGGAUAACCUACCUAUAAGACUGGGAUAACUUCGGGAAACCGGAGCUAAUACCGGAUAAUAUUUUGAACCGCAUGGUUCAAAAGUGAAAGACGGUCUUGCUGUCUCUUAUAGAUGGAUCCGCGCUGCAUUAGCUAGUUGGUAAGGUAACGGCUUACCAAGGCAACGAUGCAUAGCCGACGUGAGAGGGGGAUCGGCCACACUGGAACUGGGACACGGUCCAGACGCCUACGGGAGGCAGCAGUAGGGAAUCUUCCGCAAUGGGCGAAAGCCUGACGGAGCAACGCCGCGUGAGUGAUGAAGGUCUUCGGAUCGUAAAGAUCUGUUAUGAGGGAAGAACAUAUGUGUAAGUAACUGUGCACAUCUUGACGGUACCUAAUCAGAAAGCCACGGCUAACUACGUG
Molecule: ribosomal RNA, 497 nt
Filed under: uncultured bacterium
Lineage: Bacteria
Description: partial 16S ribosomal RNA
Rfam family: Bacterial small subunit ribosomal RNA
Source: RNAcentral